RNAcentral lists this ribosomal RNA (690 nucleotides) under Triticum aestivum (bread wheat). RNAcentral describes it as "partial small subunit ribosomal RNA". Lineage: Eukaryota; Viridiplantae; Streptophyta; Magnoliopsida; Poales; Poaceae. The record is from RNAcentral.
AAAGAGGAGGGGCGGCGGCGGGGGAGUAGAAUAGGGAGUAGGAGCUAGGGGAGGUGAUAGGGAGGAGGCGUGGGAGUGGCAGGGAUGCUACGGAGGAAGGAGGUGGAGGGGUGUACGUGGAAGAGAGAAGGGGCCUUAGAGGAUUCGAAGGAGGUGAGGUUACCGUGUGUAGGGGGUAGGGAGCAUGAUCCACAUCACCGUUGCUGUAGGACCCGCGCGCGUCUAAACCGUGCCUUGUCUUGGGGCUGCAGCCGGAACAGCUUGGCCUCGCCGGCACGCCACCAGCUGCUAGAUGACGCUGCCGACCUUCGUCGUCGUUUGGGAUCAGCGGUGACCAAUGGUCGCGCCGAGGGUGGACAGGACGACCGAAGGAGCUGCAGCACCGGAGCAUGAGGAGGCGCUGGGGGCAGAUCCAAGAAAACGGCCGAGGCUGAUUACGACACCAGCACCUAGGGACAUCUCCUUUCCAACGAGCGCAGGGAGAGAGACUACAUGCCUGCGUGCGCAGGGAAACCGACAGCCACCGUUCGUCGGUUGUAUCUCGUCGUGUCGUCCUUGCCGCCGGCACGUAGAUGGAGCUUGAGGUGGUUUGUGGUCGGUGGUAUCCAUUGACUCUAUCUUGUCUUCUGUCAACCCAAACCAAAUCUACCCAAUGAGGUGAACCUAUCCUUGUUACUAUGAUGACGCUUG